This is a long non-coding RNA of Oncorhynchus tshawytscha (Chinook salmon), 1160 nucleotides long. Lineage: Eukaryota; Metazoa; Chordata; Actinopteri; Salmoniformes; Salmonidae. The record is from Ensembl.
ACGUGCACUUGCAAUAUGAUUGUAUGUGAAAAAACAUCACCAAAUGGACAUGAUGAAAUCAACACAACGAGUGAUGGAAAGGAACAACUAUCACUGCUCGGCCAUCCUGUGUUCAUCAGGCCAGUCAAUUUUGCAUUUUUGAGCAUGUCAAAUUUCAUAUGGUAAAAUACAACUAAAGUAUGUUGAUACAGUUCUUAUACGUGUGUAAUUGACACAAAAUUACAAAAACGGUCCAGAAAGCACUUUUUAAGGGUGUGUGAAGUUUUUUCAAAAUUUUGACAUUUUUUUUUGACUUUUGACUUCCUAUGAAAUCAUAUUGAAAAUGGACAAAACAUAUUACUUAUGCCCAUGUAAAAAAAAAAAAAAAAAUAUGAUGAUAAAAUUGGACAAAAGUAUAUUCAUACAGUUCUUACACAUGUGUAAUUGACAAAAAAAAUCGAAAGAAUUUCGAAAAACGGUCCAGAAAGCACUUUUUUAAGGGGUGAUAAGUUUUUGACAAAAAAUCAUUUUUUCAAAAUUUUGCUUUUGGAUGUUGACUUGGGUGACAUUUCCAAUAUGAAAAACCAUGGUGGAGCGAAUUCGCCACCUGUUGAAUUUUUAAAGUGUUACAAUAGGCAAUCGCCAUAUGGCAGUUGCAAUACACUUUGCAUGAAUCAACGCCGAAUUGGGUGGCGAAUUCGCUCCACCAUGGUUUUUCAUAUUGGAAAAUGGCACCCAAGUCAACAUCCAAAAGCAAAAUUUUGAAAAAAUGAUUUUUGUCAAAAACUUAUCACCCCUUAAAAAGUGCUUUCUGGACCGUUUUUCGAAAUUCUUUCGAUUUUUUUGUCAAUUACACAUGUGUAAGAACUGUAUGAAUAUACUUUUGUCCAAUUUUAUCAUCAUAUUUUUUUUUUUUUUUUUUUUUUUACAUGGGCAUAAGUAAUAUGUUUUGUCCACUUUCAAUAUGAUUUCAUAGGAAGUCAAAAGUCAAAAGUCAAAAAUGUCAAAAUUUUGUAAAAACUUCACACACCCUUAAAAAGUGCUUUCUGGACCGUUUUUCGAAAUUCUUUCGAUUUUUUUGUCAAUUACACAUGUGUAAGAACUGUAUGAAUAUACUUUUGUCCAAUUUUAUCAUCAUAUUUUUUUUUUUUUUUUUUACAUUUUUUUUCACUUUCAAUAUG